GAUGAACGCUGGCGGCGUGCCUAAUACAUGCAAGUCGAGCGAACAGACGAGGAGCUUGCUCCUUUGACGUUAGCGGCGGACGGGUGAGUAACACGUAGGUAACCUACCUAUAAGACUGGGAUAACUUCGGGAAACCGGAGCUAAUACCGGAUAAUAUUUCGAACCGCAUGGUUCGAUAGUGAAAGAUGGCUUUGCUAUCACUUAUAGAUGGACCUGCGCCGUAUUAGCUAGUUGGUAAGGUAACGGCUUACCAAGGCAACGAUACGUAGCCGACCUGAGAGGGUGAGCGGCCACACUGGAACUGAGACACGGUCCAGACUCCUACGGGAGGCAGCAGUAGGGAAUCUUCCGCAAUGGGCGAAAGCCUGACGGAGCAACGCCGCGUGAGUGAUGAAGGUCUUCGGAUCGUAAAACUCUGUUAUUAGGGAAGAACAAACGUGUAAGUAACUGUGCACGUCUUGACGGUACCUAAUCAGAAAGCCACGGCUAACUACGUG
Molecule: ribosomal RNA, 497 nt
Filed under: uncultured bacterium
Lineage: Bacteria
Description: partial 16S ribosomal RNA
Rfam family: Bacterial small subunit ribosomal RNA
Source: RNAcentral